GUCUUCGCGGUGUAAUGGUCAGCACACUCGACGCGUAUUCGAGAGGUCCGAGGUUCAAAUCCCGGCGAAGGGA
This 73-nucleotide transfer RNA is filed under the name Stegodyphus mimosarum. It matches the Rfam family "tRNA". Rfam says of the family: Transfer RNA (tRNA) molecules are approximately 80 nucleotides in length. Their secondary structure includes four short double-helical elements and three loops (D, anti-codon, and T loops). Lineage: Eukaryota; Metazoa; Arthropoda; Arachnida; Araneae; Eresidae. The record is from Rfam by way of RNAcentral.